RNAcentral lists this transfer RNA (73 nucleotides) under Crassvirales sp. Its description in RNAcentral is "tRNA-Phe". It matches the Rfam family "tRNA". Rfam says of the family: Transfer RNA (tRNA) molecules are approximately 80 nucleotides in length. Their secondary structure includes four short double-helical elements and three loops (D, anti-codon, and T loops). Further hydrogen bonds mediate the characteristic L-shaped molecular structure. tRNAs have two regions of fundamental functional importance: the anti-codon, which is responsible for specific mRNA codon recognition, and the 3' end, to which the tRNAs corresponding amino acid is attached (by aminoacyl-tRNA synthetases). tRNAs cope with the degeneracy of the genetic code in two manners: having more than one tRNA (with a specific anti-codon) for a particular amino acid; and 'wobble' base-pairing, i.e. permitting non-standard base-pairing at the 3rd anti-codon position. The record is from RNAcentral. Lineage: Duplodnaviria; Heunggongvirae; Uroviricota; Caudoviricetes; Crassvirales.
GGAUUUCUGGCAGAGUUGGUCAAUGCUCCUGACUGAAGAUCAGGUGAUUAAGGUUCGAUUCCUUAGGAAUCCA